Molecule: long non-coding RNA, 201 nt
Filed under: Manacus vitellinus (golden-collared manakin)
Lineage: Eukaryota; Metazoa; Chordata; Aves; Passeriformes; Pipridae
Description: lncRNA (ENSMVIG00005016061.1)
Source: RNAcentral
AUGCUCUACUUCACACAGUUGCCCUCUGGAAGGACUUGCAAAGGCAGUCACUUAAAUUAUGUACAGCACAGCAAGAGCAGACCUGCAAAAAAGAAUUCUGACCAGCUGAGCAUCGAGAACGCCUUCUGCAGAAGAAUUCUGCUCCCAAAUGCAAAUAAGAAAGAAGUUUGGGAAACUGCCAGCUCCUUGCACAAAGACUGA